UGCCCAGCAAUUCCUAUCCCUACCUCCUCGCGGUACUGGCCGGGGUACGAGUAACCUUAGGGAAGAUCGGGUAACCAACCAUUGGUGGGAACUUUGGUCGUAUGCUGACAGGGAAGG
Molecule: non-coding RNA, 117 nt
Organism: Aedes aegypti (yellow fever mosquito)
Lineage: Eukaryota; Metazoa; Arthropoda; Insecta; Diptera; Culicidae
Source: Rfam